RNAcentral lists this ribosomal RNA (397 nucleotides) under uncultured bacterium. RNAcentral's name for it is "partial 16S ribosomal RNA". It matches the Rfam family "Bacterial small subunit ribosomal RNA", at positions 523 to 918 of the family's 1533-position model. The record is from RNAcentral.
AUACGUAGGUGACAAGCGUUAUCCGGAUUUACUGGGCGUAAAGGGCGUGUAGGCGGUCUUGCAAGUCAGAAGUGAAAUUCCUGAGCUCAACUCGGGCGCUGCUUCUGAAACUGCAGGACUUGAGUGCUGGAGGGGAUAGCGGAAUUCCUAGUGGAGCGGUAAAAUGCGUAGAGAUCAGGAGGAACACCGGUGGCGAAGGCGACUUUCUGGCUGACAACUGACGCUGAGGCGCGAAAGCGUGGGGAGCGAACAGGAUUAGAUACCCUGGUAGUCCACGCUGUAAACGAUGAUUACUAGGUGUAGGGGGUAUCGACUCCCUCUGUGCCGCAGUUAACGCAGUAAGUAAUCCACCUGGGGAGUACGGUCGCAAGAUUAAAACUCAAAUGAAUUGACGGGG